AAGUCGUAACAAGGUUUCCGUAGGUGAACCUGCGGAAGGAUCAUUCACACCUCUUUUAUGUCGGAGAUGAAAUAUGCUCUGAUGUAAUUUCCAGCAAACAAAACAAAUAGCCUCCGUUCAAGUAUACCCCUGGUCGUUCACGCGGCUGGGAGGAUCAGUUGGUUGAGUGGGCUUGGGUGGCACUUUCGCCUUUGUCUCUCUUCCAAUGCAAAAUCAAUUGAUUUUUACCCCAAAACCCCCCCCCGUCGUCGGUUGUGGACCUCUCUCUGAAGUCUGCUUCUGAUUGUCAUUCUGUACCUAAGUCUGUUUCAUUUCAGUUGUCUAAGCACUGGCUUGAAGCAUGUUUGACAAGUUUACGUAACAUUAAACUGUAGAAAUACAACUCUUUGCAAUGGAUAUCUUGGUUCUC
Molecule: unclassified non-coding RNA, 409 nt
Filed under: fungal sp.
Lineage: Eukaryota; Fungi
Description: partial internal transcribed spacer region
Rfam family: Eukaryotic small subunit ribosomal RNA (bases 1-46)
Source: RNAcentral